This 301-nucleotide ribosomal RNA is filed under the name uncultured bacterium. Its description in RNAcentral is "partial 16S ribosomal RNA". It matches the Rfam family "Bacterial small subunit ribosomal RNA", at positions 509 to 807 of the family's 1533-position model. The record is from RNAcentral.
CAGUCGCCGCGGGAAUACGAAGGGUGCAAGCGUUACUCGGAAUUACUGGGCGUAAAGCGUGCGUAGGUGGUGGUUUAAGUCCGUUGUGAAAGCCCUGGGCUCAACCUGGGAAUUGCAGUGGAUACUGGGUCACUAGAGUGUGGUAGAGGAUAGUGGAAUUUCCGGUGUAGCAGUGAAAUGCGUAGAGAUCGGAAGGAACAUCUGUGGCGAAGGCGACUAUCUGGGCCAUCACUGACACUGAGGCACGAAAGCGUGGGGAGCAAACAGGAUUAGAUACCCGCGUAGUCCCUGUCUCUUAUAC